This is an RNA transcript of Pongo pygmaeus (Bornean orangutan), 790 nucleotides long. RefSeq lists it as uncharacterized. NCBI's taxonomy places the organism in Eukaryota, Metazoa, Chordata, Mammalia, Primates, Hominidae. The record is from RefSeq and is a predicted model, not a curated record. The transcript has 5 exons.
GAGCGCGGCGCCCCCGACGCGGCGCUCGGCUCGGCUCGGGCAUUUCCGCCUCUUUGUUUUAAACUCCGGACGGGCUUUUUUCUCCUCCUCUUGGGGGGGACCCAGAGGGAGCGGCGCCCCCUCCCCCCUCCGGCGCGGACCCCGCGUGCGCCUUGCUCGCCCGCAGCCCCGAGACCGCAGGCGUCACAAUGUAGCAGGGACUCCAGGCGUCGUGCUCAGAAAAUGGAAAAAGAGCCAGGGCCGGAAGGAGGGUGCAGAAGCGAGUCCGCGUGCGGAGCCAGGAGGCAGCGUCGCGUGGGAGUGCUGGCCUGAAGCCUCCAUGCCCCGGCAGAGGGACGGACACGCGGACGUCUAGCGGAGAAGCCAAAGAUGUUGACCAGGAAGAUCAAGCUGUGGGACAUCAACGCCCACAUCACCUGCCGCCUGUGCAGUGGGUACCUCAUCGACGCCACCACGGUGACCGAGUGUCUGCACACCUCUCAAGCCCAGACAAAAGCAGGACCCAGGACCAGGGGCAGAGAUGAUUUUGAAGAUAAGUCAGAAAAGUCAUUUCACACUAAAGGUCCUGUGGGUGGUUUCAGAGCAGAUGAGGCCUUACUUAGGAGAGCAAAACACAGGAGAGACCGCACGUUCCUCCCACCGAGCAGCAAGGCCAGUAGCUGCUGUGACACAGCGCUCACUGCUGGCAGUUUCCAAAUCUCCAAAGGAGUUCCUUAAAUCCUUCAAAGGGGAACCUGCCAGUGUGUUCCUCACACUUGAUGUGUGUCCUCACACCUGAUGAGUGUGUGCU